Molecule: ribosomal RNA, 246 nt
Filed under: uncultured bacterium
Lineage: Bacteria
Description: partial 16S ribosomal RNA
Rfam family: Bacterial small subunit ribosomal RNA
Source: RNAcentral
GUGCGAGCGUUGUCCGGAAUUAUUGGGCGUAAAGAGCUCGUAGGCGGUGUGUCGCGUCGGCCGUGAAAACCUGCAGCUUAACUGUGGGCUUGCGGUCGAUACGGGCAUCACUGGAGUUCGGCAGGGGAGACUGGAAUUCCUGGUGUAGCGGUGAAAUGCGCAGAUAUCAGGAGGAACACCGGUGGCGAAGGCGGGUCUCUGGGCCGAUACUGACGCUGAGGAGCGAAAGCGUGGGGAGCGAACAGG